CCAUUUUGAAUCAUCUGUUGGAAAACAAGUAAUGCAUAUUAGGAGGUUUCAACUGCAGGUUCAGAAACGACUCUUCUUUAGCCAUGGCUUUGGCUCUGGCUGUAUUUGUCUUGGUCCUUGUUUCUUUCAGUGCUGCAUCUGCUCCUGACUGCAAAGACCUGAUCAAACCCAUCAUACCUGAGGAACCUAAACAGGUGUUUGGAAAAUGGAUCUAUGUGCUGGGAACUGGAGACCCCAAACCGUACCACAACGCCCUGAAGUCUCUGAAAAGCAGCUGGAUUGACUUAUCUCCCACAUGGAACAGUGCACUGGUGACAUUACGAUGGGGAGAUCAUUGUUUGUGAGUUCAUUCACCUUUUAAAACACCCUCAGGUAUCAUAUUCAGUCUUUUUUGACACUGGUUCAGACUGCUGUCACACCUUCCUGUGUCCCAGUAACCGCUGCAUCUAUGGGGAGGUGAAUGCUACAGUGGCAGGACUUUCAACCACAUUUCGCAGUAAGUAAAAGUAUCAGUUCACAAUAACACACAGACACGUCUCUGCAUGAAGACUAUGUUUCAGACCAUAUAAGGAUAGGGAUAAACAGAUCACAUUCAUUGUCAUUACUACAAACACAAAGUUUGUCAUCUAUUUUUAACUCAUCCUUGAGGAGCACAGAGCAGUUAGGAGUUAGAGGUACGGGACUUGUUCAACAGCUCACCGUGGAUUCAAACUGACAACCCUCCCUUUACAAUCCACUUCAUUCACCAUCAGUCCACCAUGGCCCAGAAGACAUGCACAGACUGCCGACUGCUGUAAAACUGCUGAAAAGUGGAAGUAAGGUGUGAAAUUGUGCCAAGUUUAAGGAAUGCCAUUCCCUUUUUAAGGAUGAAUAGUAUGGACAAAGUGACUUUAUGCAGACCACAUGUUUCUGACCAUCACAAGGCCACAGUCUGCUUGUAUUCCUCCCAUAAUGCAUAAUGUCAUUGUUUUAUUUAAGUUGUUAAUGUAGCCAUUAAACAGCAGUAUAGUGUAUAAACCAGACC
Molecule: long non-coding RNA, 1024 nt
Filed under: Gouania willdenowi (blunt-snouted clingfish)
Lineage: Eukaryota; Metazoa; Chordata; Actinopteri; Blenniiformes; Gobiesocidae
Description: lncRNA (ENSGWIG00000026550.1)
Source: RNAcentral